Molecule: ribosomal RNA, 468 nt
Filed under: uncultured bacterium
Lineage: Bacteria
Description: partial 16S ribosomal RNA
Rfam family: Bacterial small subunit ribosomal RNA
Source: RNAcentral
GACGAACGCUGGCGGUGUGCUUAACACAUGCAAGUCGAACGGAAAGGCACUGCUUUCGUGGGGUGCUCGAGUGGCGAACGGGUGAGUAACAGGAGAGUAACCUGCCCUUGAUUUUGGGAUAACUUCAGGUAACUGGGGUUAAUAUCGUACCGCAGACCCUCUUGCAUGGAGGGGGUUGGAACGUCUCGGCGGGUGUGGUUGGAUGGGCGGCUGACGAGCUUGCUGGUGGGGUAGUGGCUUACCAAGGAUUUGACGGAUCGCCGGCCUGAGAGGGUGACCGGCGACAAUGGGACUGAGAUACGGCCCAGACGCCUACAGGGGGCAGCAGUGGGGAGUAUUACACAAUGGGCGCAAGCCUGAUACAGCAACGCCGCGUGCGUGAUGACGGCCUUCGGGUUGUAAACCGCUGUCGCCUGUGACGAAGCGUGAGUGACGGUAAUGAGUAAAGAAGCACCGGCUAACUACGUG